RNAcentral lists this transfer RNA (76 nucleotides) under Immundisolibacter sp. RNAcentral describes it as "tRNA-Ala". It matches the Rfam family "tRNA". From Rfam's summary of the family: Transfer RNA (tRNA) molecules are approximately 80 nucleotides in length. The record is from RNAcentral. Lineage: Bacteria; Pseudomonadati; Pseudomonadota; Gammaproteobacteria; Immundisolibacterales; Immundisolibacteraceae.
GGGGCCAUAGCUCAGAUGGGAGAGCGCCUGCUUUGCACGCAGGAGGUCGGCGGUUCGAUCCCGCCUGGCUCCACCA